AGGAUAGAGGCGCGGACUUUAUCAGUAGCGCUGACGGAAAAGGACUUGGCCCGUUCGUUGUCAGCGUGAAAGGAAAGCCCGCCGAAGAAGCAGCCCGGCCGUCUGUUUCUGGUCUUGCCGAGAAGAUCGGCACGACUGUCGCAUUUGCGGAGAGCUAUGU
RNAcentral lists this non-coding RNA (160 nucleotides) under bovine gut metagenome. RNAcentral describes it as "Lysine riboswitch". It matches the Rfam family "Lysine riboswitch aptamer". Rfam says of the family: Riboswitches are metabolite binding domains within certain messenger RNAs that serve as precision sensors for their corresponding targets. The record is from RNAcentral.